This 327-nucleotide unclassified non-coding RNA is filed under the name soil metagenome. Its description in RNAcentral is "partial contains 5.8S ribosomal RNA, internal transcribed spacer 2, and large subunit ribosomal RNA". The stretch from base 1 to 120 matches the Rfam family "5.8S ribosomal RNA", at positions 35 to 154 of the family's 154-position model. The record is from RNAcentral.
GAUGAAGAACGUAGCGAAAUGCGAUAAGUAGUGUGAAUUGCAGACUUUAGUGAAUCAUCGAAUCUUUGAACGCACAUUGCGCCCCUUGGUAUUCCAUUGGGCAUGCCUGUUCGAGCGUCAUUUACACCCUCAAGCCUAGCUUGGUGUUGGGCGUUGUCCGCAAGGACUCGCCUCAAAUUCAUUGGCAGCGGCAUCGUCAGCUUCUCGCGCAGCACAUUGCGCUUCAGAAGGCUUCUGGCGGGCUCGCGUCCACUAAGAUACCACCCAGUUUGACCUCGGAUCAGGUAGGGAUACCCGCUGAACUUAAGCAUAUCAAUAAGCGGAGGA